RNAcentral lists this ribosomal RNA (578 nucleotides) under uncultured bacterium. Its description in RNAcentral is "partial 16S ribosomal RNA". It matches the Rfam family "Bacterial small subunit ribosomal RNA", at positions 355 to 941 of the family's 1533-position model. The record is from RNAcentral.
UGAGGAAUAUUGGUCAAUGGGCGAGAGCCUGAACCAGCCAAGUCGCGUGAAGGAAGACUGCCUUAUGGGUUGUAAACUUCUUUUAUACAGGAAUAAAAAGGCUUACGUGUAGGCCAUUGCAAGUACUGUAUGAAUAAGCAUCGGCUAACUCCGUGCCAGCAGCCGCGGUAAUACGGAGGAUGCGAGCGUUAUCCGGAUUUAUUGGGUUUAAAGGGUGCGCAGGCGGGCUUUUAAGUCAGCGGUGAAAUCUGGACGCUUAACGUCCAAACUGCCAUUGAAACUGGGAGUCUUGAGUAUGGAUGAAGUAGGCGGAAUUCGUUGUGUAGCGGUGACAUGCAUAGAUAUAACGAGGAACUCCGAUUGCGUAGGCAGCUUACUAAGCCAUAACUGACGCUCAUGCACGAAAGCGUGGGGAUCAAACAGGAUUAGAUACCCUGGUAGUCCACGCCGUAAACGAUGAUUACUAGUUGUAUGCGAUAUGAUAGUAUGUGACUAAGCGAAAGCGAUAAGUAAUCCACCUGGGGAGUACGCCGGCAACGGUGAAACUCAAAUGAUUGACGGGUCAUAGCUGUUUCCUG